This 326-nucleotide ribosomal RNA is filed under the name uncultured eukaryote. Its description in RNAcentral is "partial 18S ribosomal RNA". It matches the Rfam family "Eukaryotic small subunit ribosomal RNA", at positions 1470 to 1796 of the family's 1831-position model. The record is from RNAcentral.
CCCUUAGAUGUUCUGGGCCGCACGCGCGCUACACUGAUGCAUUCAACAAGCCUAGCCUUGACCGAGAGGUCCGGGUAAUCUUUGAAACUGCAUCGUGAUGGGGCUAGAUUAUUGCAAUUAUUAAUCUUCAACGAGGAAUGCCUAGUAAGCGUGAUUCAUCAAAUCGCGUUGAUUACGUCCCUGCCCUUUGUACACACCGCCCGUCGCUCCUACCGAUUGAAUGUGUUGGUGAGGAGCUCGGAUUGGCAGCAGUUGGUGGUUCGCCACCGGCUAUUGCUGAGAAGUCCUCCAAACCGCCCCAUUUAGAGGAAGGAGAAGGCGUAACA